RNAcentral lists this ribosomal RNA (494 nucleotides) under uncultured bacterium. RNAcentral describes it as "partial 16S ribosomal RNA". It matches the Rfam family "Bacterial small subunit ribosomal RNA", at positions 28 to 507 of the family's 1533-position model. The record is from RNAcentral.
GAUGAACGCUGGCGGCGUGCCUAAUACAUGCAAGUAGAACGCUGAAGGAGGAGCUUGCUCUUCUGGAUGAGUUGCGAACGGGUGAGUGACGCGUAGGUAACCUGCCCGGUAGCGGGGGGUAACAAUUGGAAACGAUAGCUAAUACCGCAUAAGAGAAGAUGUUGCGUGAAAUUCACUUAAAAGGUGCAAUUGCAUCACUACCAGAAGGACCUGCGUCGUAUUAGCUAGUUGGGGGGGUAACGGCUACCAAAGGAGCCGACCCAUAGCGGACCUGAGAGGGGGAUGGGCACCCUUGGAACUGAGACACGGCCAAGACCCCUACGGGAGGAAGCAGUGGGGAAUUUCGGCCAUGGGGCGAAGUCUUGACGAAGCACGCCCGCGUGGUGGAGGAAGUUUUCCGGUCGGUAAAGUCUUUUUUAUGGGAAAGACAAGUGUGAGAGUGAAAAGUUCACGCUGUGACGGUAUCUAACCAGAAAGCGACGGCUAACUACGUG